This 279-nucleotide long non-coding RNA is filed under the name Brassica napus (rape). RNAcentral's name for it is "long non-coding RNA (BNAP_LNC020336)". Lineage: Eukaryota; Viridiplantae; Streptophyta; Magnoliopsida; Brassicales; Brassicaceae. The record is from RNAcentral.
GAUUGGCCAGGUGAGCUGAUCAUCCCAGCCAGAGAUACUAUGGCGAUGAGAUCAUUUGAAGCUUCAAGUGAGUUUUUUUUUAUUUUGCAGAAUUCUUUUUCUUAACCAUAUUGACUGAGAAAAUGUUAGGUUGCAGUGAAUAUUUGUAGUGUUUCUUGUGAGGGAAACGUAUGAACCGCUUGAGAAGGUGCGAGUUAUGAAAUUAUAUUCAUGUUAGAUGGUUCUUGUAAUUACCAAUGUUUAUUACAGGUGACGUCUGAUCUAAUAGUUUGACCUGGC